CCGUCCACUCCGGUAACUCGUGAACUUGGGGGGCGGGGGGCCUGGAGCACCGCGGGGAGGAGGGCGAGGGCGGCGGCGCGUGCGCAGGCCCGCAGCGUCUCCCGACUCGAGGCUCCGACUCCGAGCGAUGGAGACUUGGGUCCCGGCCUGGGAGGCGGUGGCGCCCGGUGUCCGGAGAGACCGCGGCCCCGAGACUCCUCCCGGGGAGGAGAAUCAAACUUUGGCGACGCCGAGUGACUCCGGCUGGCCGGCUCCUCCCCGCGGGAACGCUGCGAGGCGACGUGGGCUUGGAGAGGGGGGAGCGCGCCUCUGUCCCCGGGGGUCUCGGUACGCAGCCCCGCGACCGAAGCUCCGCCCCGGCUCCGGUCCCGCCUCCCGGGCUCCGGUCCCCACGACCCCAGCCCUGCUCCACCUCCUGCAGCCGCGCUCCGCCUCCCAGGCAGCGGCCGC
Molecule: long non-coding RNA, 450 nt
Filed under: Rattus norvegicus (Norway rat)
Lineage: Eukaryota; Metazoa; Chordata; Mammalia; Rodentia; Muridae
Description: long non-coding RNA NONRATT007946
Source: RNAcentral